Regulatory RNA element from Loxodonta africana (African savanna elephant), 46 nucleotides. It matches the Rfam family "Histone 3' UTR stem-loop". From Rfam's summary of the family: The mRNAs of metazoan histone genes lack a poly-A tail. 3' end processing occurs at a site between a highly conserved stem-loop (modelled by this family) and a purine rich region around 20 nts downstream (the histone downstream element, or HDE). The record is from Rfam. Lineage: Eukaryota; Metazoa; Chordata; Mammalia; Proboscidea; Elephantidae.
CAAAAGGCUCUUUUCAGAGCCACCCACUAUUUCUGUGGAAGAGUUG